This 853-nucleotide ribosomal RNA is filed under the name metagenome. RNAcentral describes it as "bacterial SSU rRNA". It matches the Rfam family "Bacterial small subunit ribosomal RNA", at positions 663 to 1520 of the family's 1533-position model. The record is from RNAcentral.
AGCCGAUGAUCAGAUGGCUCAAAUCCGUAGAGAUAGAAGGAAUACCGAUUGCGAAGGCGAUCUACUGGAACAUUAUUGACGCUCAGAUGCGAAAGCGUGGGGAGCAAACAGGAUUAGAUACCCUGGUAGUCCACGCCCUAAACGAUGCACACUAGUUGUUGCCUUGCUAGACAAGGCAGUAAUGCAGUUAACACAGUAAGUGUGCCGCCUGGGGAGUACGGUCGCAAGAUUAAAACUCAAAGGAAUAGACGGGGACCCGCACAAGCGGUGGAGCAUGUGGUUUAAUUCGACGAUACGCGAAGAACCUUACCUGGCCUUGACAUAGAAAGAACUUACUAGAGAUAGUUUGGUGCUAGCUUGCUAGAACUUUCAUACAGGUGCUGCACGGCUGUCGUCAGCUCGUGUCGUGAGAUGUUGGGUUAAGUCCCGCAACGAGCGCAACCCUCGUGUUUAGUUACUAACAGUUCGGCUGAGGACUCUAGACAGACUGCCUACGCAAGUAGGAGGAAGGUGAGGACGACGUCAAGUCAUCAUGGCCCUUACGGCCAGGGCUACACACGUGCUACAAUGGGGCAUACAAAGAGCCGCAAUACGGUGACGUGGAGCAAAUCUCAUAAAAUGCCUCCCAGUUCGGAUUGUAGUCUGCAACUCGACUACAUGAAGUUGGAAUCGCUAGUAAUCGUAGAUCAGCUAUGCUACGGUGAAUACGUUCCCGGGUCUUGUACUCACCGCCCGUCACACCAUGGGAGUUGAUUUCAUUCGAAGCGGGGAUGCUAAAAUAGCUACCUUCCACAGUGGAAUUAGCGACUAGGGUGAAGUCGUAACAAGGUAACCGUAGGAGAACCUGCGGUUG